AGACUAUCCAAGGUACUGCAGGUGUACGUCAAACUGACAUUUUUUUCAAAGGGGAGCUCCGCGCCCCCUACCCCUCGCCGUUCUUCGUCUUCCUCAGCGGCGGAAGAAGGCGGGGUUGCGCAGGCAGGCGGCUAGUCACCUGCAGCACCCCAGCGGUCCCGCCGAGGUCUCCAGGCUGCUGUCGGUGUCUGAGGCCAGGGUCUGGUCGGUGGACAUGGACGAGAUGUCGUUGAUGGACGAGGACGGAGGGAGGCUCUCGCUGCUGUUCAUUGCUGCACCUGCGCUGAGGGAAGCAACGGCGGCGCCGGGGUUAUAACGAACCAGAGCGCCCAUGCCGGCGCUGAAACCAAUCGUGCUAAAUAGUUGAUAUUGGAUUUGUGCGUGCAUGCAGCAGUCCCGCUUACCAUUCCGUGCCAGCUGAUGACGAACCCAGUCCAGUUCAAAACAUCCCGACAGGAAGCAAUGCGGUGAUCAUGGCUGCGGGAUCCCAGAAAGGGAAGAUGGAAACCGCUGAGAAAAAAAAAUCUAAAUUAAAACUGAUGGGAAAAAAAGCCUAAAUCAAUAAGCAAAAAUUGGCUGAUGCUGAUUCACUCUUCAGCUCACUGACACCUUGCAACCAUUGUGCUGCAAGAUGCUGGCUGUACCAUUGUGCAUCGGGAGGGCAGGGGAGAGGGAAGAAGGGACGGAGGGGGAGGUAGAGGGGAGUAGUUGCCAUGGCAACCGGAGAGGAGCUCACGUGACGUCAA
Long non-coding RNA from Corythoichthys intestinalis (scribbled pipefish), 746 nucleotides. RefSeq lists it as uncharacterized. The record is from RefSeq and is a predicted model, not a curated record. NCBI's taxonomy places the organism in Eukaryota, Metazoa, Chordata, Actinopteri, Syngnathiformes, Syngnathidae. The transcript has 3 exons.